AAGGGGCUUCGGCCCUGAGUACAGCGGCGCACGGGUGAGUAACACGUGGAUAACCUGCCUCGAAGUGGGGGAUAACACCGGGAAACCGGUGCUAAUACCGCAUAUUCUGAUGAGAUCUGCGGAUUUUGUCAGGAAAGGAGCAAUUCGCUACGAGAGGGGUCCGCGGCUGAUUAGCUAGUUGGUGAGGUAAUGGCUCACCAAGGCAACGAUCAGUAGCCGGUCUGAGAGGACGGUCGGCCACACUGGAACUGAGACACGGUCCAGACUCCUACGGGAGGCAGCAGUGGGGAAUUUUUGGCAAUGGGCGAAAGCCUGACCAAGCAACGCCGCGUGGAUGAUGAAGUAUCUCGGU
Molecule: ribosomal RNA, 352 nt
Filed under: uncultured bacterium
Lineage: Bacteria
Description: bacterial SSU rRNA
Rfam family: Bacterial small subunit ribosomal RNA
Source: RNAcentral